Molecule: transfer RNA, 71 nt
Filed under: Bacidia sorediata
Lineage: Eukaryota; Fungi; Ascomycota; Lecanoromycetes; Lecanorales; Ramalinaceae
Description: tRNA-Thr
Rfam family: tRNA
About the family: Transfer RNA (tRNA) molecules are approximately 80 nucleotides in length. Their secondary structure includes four short double-helical elements and three loops (D, anti-codon, and T loops).
Source: RNAcentral
GCUCGGUUAGCAUAAAAGUAAUGCAACCGUUUUGUAAUCGGUAGAAGUAAGUGCGAUACUUGCACUGAGCU